CGUAAGAGAUUUUGAGUUUUUGCUUGCACCGUUUGACCACUCGUCUUAUUCAAAAAAAUUUGAAAUUAUUAUUUAUUUUUUUGACUUACUUUAUUAUCUAAAGUACUUUAAGCACAAAUUUUCAUUUUUUAUAUUUGCACAAAUUUUUUAAAUAAGACGAGUAGUCAAACGGUGCAAGCAAAAACUCAAAAUCCCUUAUA
This 200-nucleotide microRNA precursor is filed under the name Oryza barthii. RNAcentral describes it as "MIR812 microRNA precursor family". It matches the Rfam family "MIR812 microRNA precursor family". The record is from Rfam by way of RNAcentral. Lineage: Eukaryota; Viridiplantae; Streptophyta; Magnoliopsida; Poales; Poaceae.